Long non-coding RNA from Magnolia sinica, 1355 nucleotides. RefSeq lists it as uncharacterized. The record is from RefSeq and is a predicted model, not a curated record. NCBI's taxonomy places the organism in Eukaryota, Viridiplantae, Streptophyta, Magnoliopsida, Magnoliales, Magnoliaceae. The transcript has 3 exons.
CACUCUCGAUAGGGAAUUGGGCUGCGGACAGUUCGGGGUCACCUAUCUUUGUACUGAGAAGUCUACCGGCCUUAAAUACGCCUGCAAUUCCUUCUCCAAGCGCAAGCUUGUCCACAAGAGCAAUGUAGAGGGCGUGCGUCGAGAGAUCCUCAUCAUGCAACAUCUCACUGACCAGCCCAAACAUUGUCGAAUUCAAGGGCGCGUAUGAGGACCACCAGAGCAUCCAUUUAAUCAUGGAGCUCUGCUCUGGCGGGAAUCUCUCUGAUCGGAUCAUUGCCAAGGGUAGUUACUCGGAGCGUGCCGCUGCUGCCAUCGGCCGUUCCAUCGUCAAUGUGGUCUACGUCUGCCAUUUUAUGGGGGUGAUGCAUCGGGAUAUCAAGCCGGAGAAUUUCUUGCUGGUCAGUAAGGAGGACGACUCGCCGCUCAAGUCGACAGGUUUUGGUCUCUCCGUUUUCAUUGAGGAGGCCUUGUAAAGAGCAAUCAGAAGCUCAGAUGGAGUUGCAGAGGGAAUUGGCUCAGAAAGAAAAGAAUAAUUGUCCUAUUUUGGCACUGAGGUGCUAGAGAGGUGGUGGUUGAUCAUCUUUGAAGACUUCUCUCUUUCUUCUUGCAGAUAUAUACCUAAAGAGGUUUUUCUAUGCACUCAUAAGGAACAUGAAAAAGGACCGUCUUCUGUGAUAGGAAGGAGAAAUGCCUCACCAAAUGAAGGGGCAAGUUCAAUAUCCCUUGAAUUGAGGUCCCAAUGCAUGAACAAAGCACAAACACCCAAACACUUUAGGAGGAAUUUUGAACAAAGGAGAAUUGAGCUUUAAGAUAUGAAGGGGGUUAACUAUUGCCAAGUGAAGGUGAAGGCAACCUAUUGAUUGCAUACGUGGUAGUUAGAAUUGCCUCAUCCUAGAAGGCCUUUGGAACCUUCAUCUCUAUUAACAUGGAUCAAGUGAAUGUCUGAUUCCUGUAUCUAGCGACUCCAUUAUAUUGAGGUGCGUGAGGACAAGAAGUUUGGUAUUUAAUGUCACGAUCAUAGAGUUAACUAUAGAUCUCAUGACCAGUGUUCGAAACAUCUCUAAUAUUAUCUUUAUCUCCAGCUCAACGAUACUGAUAACACAGGUAGCGAUACUGAUAACACUAGUAGUAUUGGAAAUUUCAGGUAUUAGCAAUGUAUCGCUAAGUAUCGUCAAUGUGUCAAUAUUACAAAUGUAAUCGCCAAUAUUUUCAACUAUGUAAGUUCUAGGUGUCGCUUGUAUUGCCAAUGCAUCAAUAUCACCAAUGUAUUCCCAAUAUUUUCGACUAUGUAAAUUCUAGGUAAUGAUUGUAUCAUAAGUGUAUCGACGAUAUUUUAAUAAUAUCGCCAACGUAUU